RNAcentral lists this non-coding RNA (30 nucleotides) under Homo sapiens (human). The record is from RNAcentral. Lineage: Eukaryota; Metazoa; Chordata; Mammalia; Primates; Hominidae.
UGAACUGCAGAAUCCUGAGGGCCCACAACC